RNAcentral lists this ribosomal RNA (322 nucleotides) under uncultured eukaryote. RNAcentral describes it as "partial 18S ribosomal RNA". It matches the Rfam family "Eukaryotic small subunit ribosomal RNA", at positions 1470 to 1796 of the family's 1831-position model. The record is from RNAcentral.
CCCUUAGAUGUUCUGGGCCGCACGCGUGCUACACUGAGUAAUUCAAUGGGUAAGGGAACGCUAGAGCAUUACCUAAUCUUGAAAUUUGCUCGUGAUGGGGAUCGACGGUUGCAAUUUUCCGUCGUGAACGAGGAAUACCUUGUAGGCGCAUGUCAUCAUCAUGCGCCGAAUACGUCCCUGCCCUCUGUACACACCGCCCGUCGCUCCUACCGAUUGAGUGAUCCGGUGAGGCUCUGGGACCUGGACGGAAAGAGCGUUUCGCUUGUUCUGUUUGGGAAACUUGGUCGAACCUUAUCAUUUAGAGGAAGGAGAAGUCGUAACA